This is a long non-coding RNA of Oncorhynchus tshawytscha (Chinook salmon), 1655 nucleotides long. Lineage: Eukaryota; Metazoa; Chordata; Actinopteri; Salmoniformes; Salmonidae. The record is from Ensembl.
CAGUAAGUGACAUGUGCCAGAACACACCCCUUAUUUUGAAAUUGAUGAGCUGAUUUGCUAUAAUUUUAUACAUUUAAUAUUUUUCCCCCAUUUUUAAAUAUUCAAGCAUAAUUUAAAAUUCAUUACAUAGGCCUAAAUGAAAUAUACUUUAUGUACGAUGUCCUGAAAGGAAACUACCAAAUAAAAUGUAUUAUUAUUAUUGACAAUUAAUUUUAGGUUCACCCCCCCGUUCACAAAAAUGGUUCGCUCCUACAGACAGUGAGUCACAUGGGCGUGGCCUGCUAUAAAAAGCAGACCGGCCAUUCAGUUACUGUUCGAUUGAGCAAACCGAGUGACCUAAGCGAUUUUGAGCGCGCUGUGAUCGCCGGCCAGCCGGCCUCCUGGGCUAUUCACGCAUGACAGUGUCUGGGGUUUACCGAGAACGGUACGACAAACAAACAACAUCCAGUCAGCGGCAGUCCUGUGGGUGAAAACAGCUCAUUAAUGAAGGCGGCAGUCCUGUGGGUGACAACAGCUCAUUGAUGAGAGGUCAGCAGUCCUGUGGGUGACAACAGCUCAUUGAUGAGAGGUCGGCAGUCCUGUGGGUGAAACAGCUCAUUGAUGAGAGGUCGGCAGUCCUGUGGGUGACAACAGCUCAUUGAUGAGAGGGUGGCAGUCCUGUGGGUGACAACAGCUCAUUGAUGAGAGGUCAGCAGUCCUGUGGGUGACAACAGCUCGGUGAUGAGAGGUCCAAGGAGAACGGCAAGAAUCGUGCAAGCUAACAGGCAAAUAACGGCGCAGUACAACAGUGGUGUGCAGAUAUGCAUCUUGGGAAUGCACAACUCGUAGGUCCUUGUCACGGAUGAGCUGUUGCAGCAGACGACCACACCGGGUUCCUAUCAGAUAAAAACAACAAGAGGCUCCCAGUGGGCACGUGAUCAUCAACACUGGACAACUGAGGAGUGGAAAAGCAGUGCCUGGUCCGACCAAUCCUGGUUCCUGUUGCGUCCUGCUGAUGUCAGGGUUUGGCGUAAGCAGCAUGAGUCCAUGGCCACAUCCUGUCUGGUGUCAACGGUACAGGCUGGUGGUGUAACGGUGUGGGGAAUGUUUUCCUGGCACACGUUAGGGCCCUUGAUACCAAUUGAGCAACGUGCCCAUGCCCCGAAGAAUUCAGGCUGUUCUGGAGGCAGAGGUACUCACUUUGGGUGCUGUUUAUAUUUAAGUGCAGGAACUCUGUAAUACUGUUGAGAUACUAUUCUAGAAUAGAAACAGGAAUUCCAAUACUGUUGAGAUAAUAUUCUGGAAGAGGAACAGGAACUCUGCAAUACUGUUGAGAUAAUAUUCUAGAAGAGGAACAGGAACUCUGUAAUACUGUUGAGAUAAUAUUCUAGAAGAGGGAACAGGAAUUGGACUUCCUGACGGGCCGACCGCAGGCUGUGAGGAUUAGCAUCAGAGGCCCCAGGGGUGUGUCUUCAGUCAUCUGCUGUACUCUCUGUUCACCAACGACUGCAUGGCUUUGCACCACAUCAACUCCCAUCAUCAAGUUUGCAGGCCUGAUAACCAACCUGUCUUACUUAUUGAUGUCAUGUUAAAUCCACUUCAAUCAGUGUAGAUGAAGGGGAGGAGACAGAUUAAAGGAUUUAAGCCUUGAGACAUGGAUUGUGUCUGAAGGCCAA